This is a long non-coding RNA of Leucoraja erinaceus (little skate), 974 nucleotides long. RefSeq lists it as uncharacterized. The record is from RefSeq and is a predicted model, not a curated record. NCBI's taxonomy places the organism in Eukaryota, Metazoa, Chordata, Chondrichthyes, Rajiformes, Rajidae. The transcript is spliced from 3 exons.
GACCCAGAGGACCCAGAGGACCCAGAGGAAACCAGAGUGACCAUGGGAGACAUGCAAACUCCACACAGACAACACUCAAGAUCGGUGUUUUGUUGAUGUUUCUGCUCUGAACAGGCAGGGAGUUCAGUCACGUCACAAACUGCCCUUCUCUCUCUGCCAACAAUCAUUUGAGAAGUUCUCUGGAUGUGAGAGCGUGUGUUGAGUUUUGGAGAAAAUAAGGCAACGGUCGAUAUUGUGUGUCCAUCAAUAUGUGUAGAGAAGGGGACGUUACGUGUGGGUAGCAUGUAUGGAGAAGCGGAGUACUGAGCGCUCAAUAAUUUUGGAGAAGGUCAGCUGAUGGCUGAAUGGUCAACUGUUGCAGCUGUAGGAGGUCACGUGAGAUGCAUGCCCUUUGCACUGAACCCCUCGACCACCGUUCCAAUGAGGUUGUUGAAUUUGUUUCAGCAUCACUCCAUGUUACGCAACUAUCACUCCUGACUGUCAACUAUUGCAUCAACUCCUGCCAUCUCUACACCCUGAUGUAUAUGACCUACGUCUCUUUGUUGAUCUCAUACAACAAGACUUCCAAGUCCCUGUCAAAGUGUUUGUUAAUCAUUUUCCAAACCUAAACAUAUUUGGAAAGUUAUACAACGGUGUGUCACAGGGGUCCUGUUAUGAAGCUUGAAGUUGCACAAAGCGACGGGAAAGGGAGCUGUUUAUUUUUAAAGCAUUUUCAUCUUUACAUUUUUAUUUUUAUAGAUAGAUAGAUAGAUAGCCUUUUAUUGUCAUUCAGACUUAGUCUGAACGAAAUUGCAGCAGUCAUACAUAUAAUACAAUACAAUAAAACAACAAUAAACACACAUUAACAUCCACCACAGUGAGUCCACCCAGCAUCUCCUCACUGUGAUGGAGGCAAAAGUCUUAGGUCGCAGUCUCUUCCCUCCUCUUCUCCCUCUGCGCUGGGGCGAUACCCCCCCCCCCCCCCCCCGGGCGAU